AGAUUAGGAUUGAGGGGAUUAACAUUAUAAAUAGGAGUAUGAAGAAAAGAUUACUUGGCUUUGCCCAUUAUUGAGGAGUGGCUUUCACCAUUGUGAAGAGAAGGUUUUUGCCCAUUGAGGAGAAUGACACUUGCUUAUUGCAGUCCCAUGGAAGGAGCGCAUUUCAGCCUAAGGUGGAGAAUGGUAUAGUCCAAAAGAAAGGGGCUAUUGUCUAUUAUAGUUGAAGACACCCUUUGUGA
Molecule: unclassified non-coding RNA, 239 nt
Filed under: Hevea brasiliensis (rubber tree)
Lineage: Eukaryota; Viridiplantae; Streptophyta; Magnoliopsida; Malpighiales; Euphorbiaceae
Source: RNAcentral